Molecule: unclassified non-coding RNA, 400 nt
Filed under: uncultured fungus
Lineage: Eukaryota; Fungi
Description: sequence contains ITS1
Rfam family: 5.8S ribosomal RNA (bases 1-104)
Source: RNAcentral
GAAAUGCGAUACGUAGUGUGAAUUGCAGAAUUCAGUGAAUCAUCAAACCUUUGAACGCACCUUGCGCCUGAGGCUAUACCUCAGGCAUGCCUGUUUGAGUGUCGUUUUAAAAAUAUACUCACACAAAAACCCCCUUGAAAAAGGGGAAAUGGGUGGACAUGAGCGUUGGGAGCCCGCUCACAUCGCUUGAAAUGCAGUGGAGAAUGGGGGGUGCUUUACUGUAACCUUGUUGAACACGGCUCCAAUUGGUGUCUUAGUGUGCCUAGCACAUUCCAGCAUCAAAUAGGCUGAUGGACCAGGGUUCAUUCGGGCUGCCUUCAGACCCACACUGGUGCCGGCCUCAUGACCGGCAUUUUAAACCCUCUUAAACCUGCGACCUCAAAUCAGGCAGAGCUACCCG